RNAcentral lists this ribosomal RNA (353 nucleotides) under uncultured bacterium. RNAcentral describes it as "bacterial SSU rRNA". It matches the Rfam family "Bacterial small subunit ribosomal RNA", at positions 8 to 353 of the family's 1533-position model. The record is from RNAcentral.
AGAGUUUGAUCCUGGCUCAGGAUGAACGCUAGCGACAGGCCUAACACAUGCAAGUCGAGGGGCAGCGAAGAGGUAGCAAUACCUUUGUCGGCGACCGGCGCACGGGUGAGUAACGCGUAUGCAACUUACCUAUCAGAGGGGGAUAGCCCGGCGAAAGUCGGAUUAAUACCCCAUAAAACAGGGGUCCCGCAUGGGAAUAUUUGUUAAAGAUUCAUCGCUGAUAGAUAGGCAUGCGUUCCAUUAGGCAGUUGGCGGGGUAACGGCCCACCAAACCGACGAUGGAUAGGGGUUCUGAGAGGAAGGUCCCCCACAUUGGUACUGAGACACGGACCAAACUCCUACGGGAGGCAGCA